AGAACGAACGCUGGCGGCAUGCCUAACACAUGCAAGUCGAACGCUCUUGGUUUCGGCCAAGGGAGUGGCGCACGGGUGAGUAACGCGUGGGAACCUGCCCUGGAGUGGGGGAUAACCGAGGGAAACCUCGGCUAAUACCGCAUACGACCUGAGGGUGAAAGAUUUAUCGCUCUAGGAGGGGCCCGCGUCGGAUUAGCUAGUUGGUGAGGUAACGGCCCACCAAGGCUAUGAUCCGUAGCUGGUCUGAGAGGAUGAUCAGCCACACUGGGACUGAGACACGGCCCAGACUCCUACGGGAGGCAGCAGUGGGGAAUAUUGGACAAUGGGCGCAAGCCUGAUCCAGCAAUGCCGCGUGAGUGAUGAAGGCCUUAGGGUGUAAAGCUCUUUCACACGCGACGAUGAUGACGGUAGCGUGAGAAGAAGCCCGGCUAACUUCGUGCCAGCAGCCGC
Molecule: ribosomal RNA, 450 nt
Filed under: uncultured bacterium
Lineage: Bacteria
Description: SSU rRNA
Rfam family: Bacterial small subunit ribosomal RNA
Source: RNAcentral